GGAGAUUCCGUUAUAAAUCAAAAAUAGAAAAAAAAAAUGUAACGCGAUUUUUUUAAGAGUUAAUAACAAAUUUUUACGAAAAUCGUAAUCAUUUGGGUCGCGUCUUUUCGUUAACAAUGGUUUAUCGCUGCUUACAGUUAUAAAUUAAAUAUUUAAUUAAUAUUUUAUUAUACUUAAUGCAUCCCACAUUCCCACCUACAACAUUGAUACACCCGUGACCAGUCCUUAGUAUCAGCUUUUUCUUUUUUUUAGCUAAUUUGUUUUGUUAGCUGUAAUAAACUAAAAGUAAACCACGCGCGAGAUGUGUUUUUUUCCUCAGAUAAAAUCGUCCCCCCCUCCCCCGGUCAUUUAAAACGCUCCGAAUGGCAAAUUGUUCACAAAUCGCGGUAGAACUUUAUUUACAAUACAUUAGUCUAGAUCAGUGGUCCUCAACCUUUUUCGUGUGCGCCGACACCCUAGUUUAGAUCCGUGAAAAUGACGACACACUUGAUGAUUUAUAAUUCAUCACGUCAUAUAUUUAUACUUUGAAAACGUACGGUUAAAAACUAUAAUGUAUAAAAAAAAAAAAACCAUGAAUAAACAACUUUUUCGGCGACACACGUCACAGUGACACUAGCGCGUCACGACACACCGGUUGAAAACCACUGG
Cinara cedri is the source of this 648-nucleotide non-coding RNA. Lineage: Eukaryota; Metazoa; Arthropoda; Insecta; Hemiptera; Aphididae. The record is from the annotation of a GenBank genome assembly.